RNAcentral lists this ribosomal RNA (389 nucleotides) under uncultured bacterium. RNAcentral's name for it is "bacterial SSU rRNA". It matches the Rfam family "Bacterial small subunit ribosomal RNA", at positions 28 to 417 of the family's 1533-position model. The record is from RNAcentral.
GACGAACGCUGGCGGCGUGCUUAACACAUGCAAGUCGAGCGGUAAGGCCCUUUCGGGGGUACACGAGCGGCGAACGGGUGAGUAACACGUGGGUGACCUGCCCUCAGCUCUGGGAUAAGCCUGGGAAACCGGGUCUAAUACCGGAUAUGACUCCAUGACGCAUGUUGUGGGGUGGAAAGCCUUGUGCGGCGUGAGGAUGGGCCCGCGGCCUAUCAGCUUGUUGGUGGGGUGAUGGCCUACCAAGGCGACGACGGGUAGCCGGCCUGAGAGGGCGACCGGCCACACUGGGACUGAGACACGGCCCAGACUCCUACGGGAGGCAGCAGUGGGGAAUCUUGCGCAAUGGGCGAAAGCCUGACGCAGCGACGCCGCGUGAGGGAUGACGGCCU